This 382-nucleotide ribosomal RNA is filed under the name uncultured bacterium. RNAcentral describes it as "bacterial SSU rRNA". It matches the Rfam family "Bacterial small subunit ribosomal RNA", at positions 32 to 424 of the family's 1533-position model. The record is from RNAcentral.
AAUCAACGCUGGCGGCGUGCCUAACACAUGCAAGUCGCACGAGAAAGGGGAGCAAUCCCUGAGUAAAGUGGCGCACGGGUGAGUAACACGUGACUAACCUACCCUCGAGUGGGGAAUAACCUAGAGAAAUCUGGGCUAAUACCGCGUAACACUUACGAGUCAAAGCAGCAAUGCGCUUGAGGAGGGGGUCGCGGCAGAUUAGCUAGUUGGCGGGGUAAUGGCCCACCAAGGCAAUGAUCUGUAUCCGGCCUGAGAGGGCGCACGGACACACUGGAACUGAAACACGGUCCAGACUCCUACGGGAGGCAGCAGUGGGGAAUUUUGCGCAAUGGGGGAAACCCUGACGCAGCAACGCCGCGUGGAGGAUGAAAUCCCUUGGGAU